RNAcentral lists this unclassified non-coding RNA (382 nucleotides) under soil metagenome. RNAcentral's name for it is "partial contains 5.8S ribosomal RNA, internal transcribed spacer 2, and large subunit ribosomal RNA". The stretch from base 1 to 120 matches the Rfam family "5.8S ribosomal RNA", at positions 35 to 154 of the family's 154-position model. The record is from RNAcentral.
GAUGAAGAACGUAGCGAAAUGCGAUAAGUAAUGUGAAUUGCAGAAUUCAGUGAAUCAUCGAAUCUUUGAACGCACCUUGCACCCUUUGGCAUUCCGAAGGGUAUGCUCGUUUGAGUGUCAUUGUACUCUCACACUUCUGAUCCUUUGGAUUGGGAGCGGUGGACUUGGGUGUUGCUGCUUUACUGUGGCUCACCUCAAAUGCAUUCGUGCAACUCUUGGUUGGACAUAGUACGGCGUGAUAAGUAUCUUCGCCGGCACCUCGCAAGAGGGUGGCUGAUCAGGAGCUCUGUGCUUUCCAACUGUCUUCAGACAACAACUGACUACUUGACCUCAAAUCGAGUAGGACCACCCGCUGAACUUAAGCAUAUCAAUAAGCGGAGGA